GAUGAACGCUGGCGGCGUGCCUAAUACAUGCAAGUCGAGCGAACGGACGAGAAGCUUGCUUCUCUGAUGUUAGCGGCGGACGGGUGAGUAACACGUGGAUAACCUACCUAUAAGACUGGGAUAACUUCGGGAAACCGGAGCUAAUACCGGAUAAUAUUUUGAACCGCAUGGUUCAAAAGUGAAAGACGGUCUUGCUGUCACUUAUAGAUGGAUCCGCGCUGCAUUAGCUAGUUGGUAAGGUAACGGCUUACCAAGGCAACGAUGCAUAGCCGACCUGAGAGGGUGAUCGGCCACACUGGAACUGAGACACGGUCCAGACUCCUACGGGAGGCAGCAGUAGGGAAUCUUCCGCAAUGGGCGAAAGCCUGACGGAGCAACGCCGGGUGAGUGAUGAGGGUCUUCGGAUCGUAAAACUCUGUUAUUAGGGAAGAACAUAUGUGUAAGUAACUGUGCACAUCUUGACGGUACCUAAUCAGAAAGCCACGGCUAACUACGUG
This 497-nucleotide ribosomal RNA is filed under the name uncultured bacterium. RNAcentral describes it as "partial 16S ribosomal RNA". It matches the Rfam family "Bacterial small subunit ribosomal RNA", at positions 28 to 507 of the family's 1533-position model. The record is from RNAcentral.